This 467-nucleotide ribosomal RNA is filed under the name uncultured bacterium. RNAcentral describes it as "partial 16S ribosomal RNA". It matches the Rfam family "Bacterial small subunit ribosomal RNA", at positions 28 to 507 of the family's 1533-position model. The record is from RNAcentral.
GACGAACGCUGGCGGCGUGCUUAACACAUGCAAGUCGAACGGAAAGGCCCUGCUUUUGUGGGGUGCUCGAGUGGCGAACGGGUGAGUAACACGUGAGUAACCUGCCCUUGACUUUGGGAUAACUUCAGGAAACUGGGGCUAAUACCGGAUAGGAGCUCCUGCUGCAUGGUGGGGGUUGGAAAGUUUCGGCGGUUGGGGAUGGACUCGCGGCUUAUCAGCUUGUUGGUGGGGUAGUGGCUUACCAAGGCUUUGACGGGUAGCCGGCCUGAGAGGGUGACCGGCCACAUUGGGACUGAGAUACGGCCCAGACUCCUACGGGAGGCAACAGUGGGGAAUAUUGCACAAUGGGCGGAAGCCUGAUGCAGCAACGCCGCGUGCGGGAUGACGGCCUUCGGGUUGUAAACCGCUUUCGCCUGUGACGAAGCGUGAGUGACGGUAUGGGUAAAGAAGCACCGGCUAACUACGUG